AAGAUUAAGCCAUGCAUGUCUAAGUAUAAACAAAUCUAUACUGUGAAACUGCGAAUGGCUCAUUAAAUCAGUUAUAGUUUAUUUGAUAAUACCUUACUACUUGGAUAACCGUAGUAAUUCUAGAGCUAAUACAUGCUAAAAAACCCGACUCUCGGAAGGGUUGUAUUUAUUAGAUAAAAAUCAAUGUCUUCGGACUCUUUGAUGAUUCAUAAUAACUUUUCGAAUCGCAU
Molecule: ribosomal RNA, 230 nt
Filed under: uncultured fungus
Lineage: Eukaryota; Fungi
Description: partial 18S ribosomal RNA
Rfam family: Eukaryotic small subunit ribosomal RNA
Source: RNAcentral